CCCCAACUCUGUGCAGUACAGUUUACCUGGCAGUGGUUGCUUCUUAUGCUGUACCAGGCACUCCAAAGAGGCUCUAGUUCACAGGCAGAGAACUUAAGAUGAAAUACAUCCCCAUAUCCCCAUAUCCCAAAGGAGAACCCAGGAACCUUUAGUUUCAAGAGCGACAUGGUAUUUCAGUUGCUGAGGAGCUUCUCAAUGAGCCAAUUUUAGGAGAUACAGUUGCAUACAUGCAUGAAAAUACAAUGAAACUCAAUAUUUUGUGCACUAACUAAAAUAAAUAAUGAAAUUACGGGAAGAAACUA
Molecule: long non-coding RNA, 302 nt
Organism: Mastomys coucha (southern multimammate mouse)
Lineage: Eukaryota; Metazoa; Chordata; Mammalia; Rodentia; Muridae
Exons: 2
Source: RefSeq, a predicted model, not a curated record